GACAGAGGGUGCAAACGUUGUUCGGAAUUACUGGGCGUAAAGCGCGUGUAGGCGGCUAAGUAAGUCGGGCGUGAAAUCCCACGGCUCAACCGUGGAAGUGCACUCGAAACUGCAUAGCUAGAGUCCUGGAGAGGAAGGUGGAAUGCUUGGUGUAGAGGUGAAAAUUCGUAGAUAUCAAGCGGAACACCGGUGGCGAAGGCGGCCUUCUGGACAGUGACUGACGCUGAGACGGCGAAAAGCGUGGGGGAG
RNAcentral lists this ribosomal RNA (249 nucleotides) under uncultured bacterium. Its description in RNAcentral is "partial 16S ribosomal RNA". It matches the Rfam family "Bacterial small subunit ribosomal RNA", at positions 524 to 769 of the family's 1533-position model. The record is from RNAcentral.